GAUGUUGACAAGAUAAUGGAUGAGAUAAACAAAUAAACAGAGAACAUGAAGCAGAUACAGGAAGCCUUGGCUACCCCCAUUGGUACAGCAGUUGAUUUUGAUGAGGUUCUUUGCUCAUCUCUAAUUCUACUUAUUUGAAGUUUAAUUUAUAUUGAAGUUAUCUCAUUGAUACACAUGAGUUAUAUAAGCAAUUUAACGUCAUAAUUUUUUCAUUAUGACUGGACGAAUUGGGGGCGAGCUUGAAGAAUGGGAAGGUGAAGAGUUAGAGGAACAGCUUCUUCAGCUUGCAACCAGGGCCCCUGCUACUCUAUUUCACGUCUCAGAAAGAUGGCAGAGUACUUGCUUGCCCUGCUCCUAAGAAACAUACAGAGGAAGAUGAACUUGUCGCUUUGAUCAUCAUGAGUAUCCAAGCCACACUUCAGUAUUCUUUUGUCUGUCUAUUCUUAACUUUUCUAGCACUACAUCAGCACUAUUGUUCCUGGGUAUUGCUCGACUAGUGUCAGUAUAAAACAUUUCUGGCGCCACGUAUUUAGACUCAUUAUGUAGAUGUUCGCCGUGGUUCAUAAGCCAUUUGUUGGUUCUUAUUGCAUUUUCAAGCAUAUAUUGUGAUUUGUAUUUGAUUUGAGACAACAUAAUUAGAUUUCUCUAUUGAACAACUGCACUUGCGUAUUUUUAC
RNAcentral lists this long non-coding RNA (676 nucleotides) under Olea europaea subsp. europaea. Lineage: Eukaryota; Viridiplantae; Streptophyta; Magnoliopsida; Lamiales; Oleaceae. The record is from RNAcentral.